GACGAACGCUGGCGGCGUGCCUAAUACAUGCAAGUCGAACGCAGUGGGGACGGGUGAGUAACACGUGGGUAACCUCCCAUCAGAGGGGAUAACCCUUGGAAACAGGUGCUAAACCGAUACUGAUGGAUGGUCCCGCGGUGCAUUAGCUAGUUGGUGAGGUAACGGCUCACCAAGGCCAAGAUGCAUAGCCGACCGUAGAGGGGGAUCGGCGACACUGGGACUGAGGCACGGCCCGGACUCCUACGGGAGGCAGGGGUAGGGAAUCUUCGGCAAUGGACAAAAGUCUGACCAAGCAACGCCGCGUGAGGGAAGAAGGUUUUCGGAUCGUAAAACUCUGUUGUUAGAGAAGCGGUAUCUAACCAGAAAGCCACGGCUAACUACGUGCCAGCGGCCGCGGUAAUAC
This 403-nucleotide ribosomal RNA is filed under the name uncultured bacterium. RNAcentral describes it as "partial 16S ribosomal RNA". It matches the Rfam family "Bacterial small subunit ribosomal RNA", at positions 28 to 526 of the family's 1533-position model. The record is from RNAcentral.